Molecule: ribosomal RNA, 439 nt
Filed under: uncultured bacterium
Lineage: Bacteria
Description: bacterial SSU rRNA
Rfam family: Bacterial small subunit ribosomal RNA
Source: RNAcentral
ACGCGAGGAACCUUACCAGGUCUUGACAUCCCACUGCCCGGUAUAGAGAUAUACCUUUCCCUUCGGGGACAGUGGUGACAGGUGGUGCAUGGUUGUCGUCAGCUCGUGUCGUGAGAUGUUGGGUUAAGUCCCGCAACGAGCGCAACCCUUGAUCUUAGUUGCCAGCAUUCAGUUGGGCACUCUAAGAUGACUGCCGGUGACAAACCGGAGGAAGGUGGGGAUGACGUCAAAUCAUCAUGCCCCUUAUGACCUGGGCUACACACGUGCUACAAUGGAUGGUACAAAGGGCUGCGAGACUGCGAAGUUAAGCGAAUCCCAUAAAACCAUUCUCAGUUCGGAUUGCAGGCUGCAACUCGCCUGCAUGAAGCUGGAAUCGCUAGUAAUCGCGGAUCAGCAUGCCGCGGUGAAUACGUUCCCGGGCCUUGCACUCACCGCCCGU